Molecule: ribosomal RNA, 218 nt
Filed under: uncultured Lactobacillus sp.
Lineage: Bacteria; Bacillati; Bacillota; Bacilli; Lactobacillales; Lactobacillaceae
Description: partial 16S ribosomal RNA
Rfam family: Bacterial small subunit ribosomal RNA
Source: RNAcentral
UAACACCUGGAAACAGAUGCUAAUACCGGAUAACAACAGAUGAUGCCUAUCAACUGUUUAAAAGAUGGUUCUGCUAUCACUCUUGGAUGGACCUGCGGUGCAUUAGCUAGUUGGUAGGGUAACGGCCUACCAAGGCGAUGAUGCAUAGCCGAGUUGAGAGACUGAUCGGCCACAUUGGGACUGAGACACGGCCCAAACUCCUACGGGAGGCAGCAGUU